UAGGGAAUAUUGGUCAAUGGGCGGAAGCCUGAACCAGCCAUGCCGCGUGCAGGAAGACGGCCCUAUGGGUUGUAAACUGCUUUUAUAUGGGGAGAAAUGACGUUAUUAAUAAUGUUUUGACGGUACCAUAGGAAUAAGGAUCGGCUAACUACGUGCCAGCAGCCGCGGUAAUACGUAGGAUCCAAGCGUUGUCCGGAUUUAUUGGGUUUAAAGGGUGCGUAGGCGGGAGUAUAAGUCAGUGGUGAAAGCCCAUCGCUCAACGGUGGAACUGCCAUUGAUACUGUACACCUAGAAUUCGGUAGAGGUUGGCGGAAUGUGUAGUGUAGCGGUGAAAUGCAUAGAUAUUACACAGAACACCGAUUGCGAAGGCAGCUAGCUAUGCCUGGAUUGACGCUGAGGC
This 400-nucleotide ribosomal RNA is filed under the name uncultured bacterium. RNAcentral describes it as "bacterial SSU rRNA". It matches the Rfam family "Bacterial small subunit ribosomal RNA", at positions 355 to 752 of the family's 1533-position model. The record is from RNAcentral.